Molecule: ribosomal RNA, 207 nt
Filed under: uncultured delta proteobacterium
Lineage: Bacteria; Deltaproteobacteria
Description: partial 16S ribosomal RNA
Rfam family: Bacterial small subunit ribosomal RNA
Source: RNAcentral
CGUGUAGGCUGCUCGGAAAGUCGGAUGUGAAAGCCCUGGGCUCAACCCAGGAAGUGCACUCGAAACUCCCGAGCUGGAGUCCUGGAGAGGAAGGCGGAAUUCUCGGUGUAGAGGUGAAAUUCGUAGAUAUCGAGAGGAACAUCGGUGGCGAAGGCGGCCUUCUGGACAGUGACUGACGCUGAGACGCGAAAGCGUGGGGAGCAAACA